AGUGAACGCUGGCGGUAGGCCUAACACAUGCAAGUCGAGCGGCAGCACAGUAAGAGCUUGCUCUUACGGGUGGCGAGUGGCGGACGGGUGAGGAAUACAUCGGAAUCUACUUUUUCGUGGGGGAUAACGUAGGAAACUUACGCUAAUACCGCAUACGACCUACGGGUGAAAGCAGGGGAUCUUCGGACCUUGCGCGAUUGAAUGAGCCGAUGUCGGAUUAGCUAGUUGGCGGGGUAAAGGCCCACCAAGGCGACGAUCCGUAGCUGGUCUGAGAGGAUGAUCAGCCACACUGGAACUGAGACACGGUCCAGACUCCUACGGGAGGCAGCAGUGGGGAAUAUUGGACAAUGGGCGCAAGCCUGAUCCAGCCAUACCGCGUGGGUGAAGAAGGCCGUCGGGUUGUAAAGCCCUUUUGUUGGGAAAGAAAAGCAGCAGGUUAAUACCCCGCUGUUCUGACGGUACCCAAAGAAUAAGCACCGGCUAACUUCG
This 489-nucleotide ribosomal RNA is filed under the name uncultured bacterium. Its description in RNAcentral is "partial 16S ribosomal RNA". It matches the Rfam family "Bacterial small subunit ribosomal RNA", at positions 29 to 505 of the family's 1533-position model. The record is from RNAcentral.